UCGCCGCGUCCAAGAAUACUUCAAGACAGAGUUGGACAUGUUUCGUUCAUUCAGAGUGAGAGGAACCCACGUACCGAGUUGUAAAAGUGUAAAGAUUGAGUGAUGAUGAUUUACAUGAUUCCAGAGAUAUAAUGUUGGUUAGUUUAGCAUCUAAAUGCUCUUAUAUUUCUUUAAAGAGGGAGUAACAUAUUGUACUGUCAUUUUAACUUUCAGAAGCAAGACGCCUUAGUAAGCAUGUGGAUUGAAGCCUGCAAGUCCAAACCCUUCCAUGAAGCAUGUGACCCAAGAAGAAAAGAAUGCUCACAAGAAGAAUAAAAUCACACUGACAACACAUAAUAAUAAAUAAUAUAAUCUAGUAAGCUGAGCAGGUUGGGGGCCAAAGCUGGCUUGUGGCUUGGCUGUCUCUGAAACUCUGUUUGAAAGGAUGGAGUGGGCAAUGGCAAUGGGGGAAAGAAAGCACACUCCAUGUGAGAUGAGAUGUGGGUGAUAUCUCCGCAGCUGCUGUAUAAGCCUCAAGAAAAGACGCGGAGGAGAGAUUUUGGUCAGACGUGAGAAACCUACCAAGUUCUAAGUGAAAAGAAUAUUAUGUUGAGAGUAAAACUCACAAACUUUGGGUACUAAAUGGAGC
This 628-nucleotide ribosomal RNA is filed under the name Triticum aestivum (bread wheat). RNAcentral describes it as "partial small subunit ribosomal RNA". The record is from RNAcentral. Lineage: Eukaryota; Viridiplantae; Streptophyta; Magnoliopsida; Poales; Poaceae.